This is a long non-coding RNA of Prosopis cineraria, 1018 nucleotides long. RefSeq lists it as uncharacterized. NCBI's taxonomy places the organism in Eukaryota, Viridiplantae, Streptophyta, Magnoliopsida, Fabales, Fabaceae. The transcript is spliced from 4 exons. The record is from RefSeq and is a predicted model, not a curated record.
GAGUUCUAAUAUCGGACAACACCAUUUCUUUGACCCAACUCGUCUUCUCCGUCAAGCCAAUAAUUGAGCGAGGAAUUUUCUUGAAGAAGAUGACUUCCACUGGGAGUGGUUCCAAAUUGUGAGCUGAAAACAAAGAGCUCUACGGACCCACAUGAGAUCCUGAGAAUUUGGGAAUUUGGCUUGUUGCUUGGUGAUCGAGUAAGUGGUCUCAUUUCCAAAGGGUUAAAGUCCUUUCCUUGAUGCAUAGAAGUGAUGUUUCGUACCGCCUCUGUAUUAUCAGCUUCCAUGAAAUCAUAUAGAUUAGUACGAAGCCAUUCUCUGAAACUUCCCUGAUUAAUGUUUUCAGUCCUCAAUCCAAAGGCUCCAAACCAAAUCAGGCGUGUUUGAUUGCAGAGAAAGAAUACUUGAGAUGUAAUUGACAUAAUUGAGGCCAAUUAUAAAUAGACCUCCCAAUCUGCCGUCCACAUACACACGUAGACACAUAAGUUUCUUCAUCUUCAUCUUCAUCAUCUUCUUAUUACUUGCAAGCACGCCAUGAAGCAGCCAGAGACAGGCCCAAAUCCUGCAGACCAGCACAAGAAAAAAGAGGAGCAUAAGACGCCCACACAUGAGAAAAAGCAAGAACAACAACAUCCUUCUCAUAAGACAAAGGAACAUGAGGAGACGACGAAGGCGUCUACCCACAAAAAUUAAAAAUAAUGAUGAAGGCUCUGGAAAUUAGUCGAAGGAGGAUGAGGAGGCUCAUGCGAAGCACCACCAUCAUCUCUUUGGCUAAACAUAUUACAUACACCACGUGCGCGUGCAUAUUUAUAUGUGUGUAUUUAUGUAUGAAUGUAAAAGCACGUACUUGAGGCAUCACCAUUGUCCAAGUGCUUUUUAUGAUUUGCCUUGUGUACUUCUGUGUUGUGUUUCUUUUGUGGUUUUAUGAUUUGCCUUAUGUAUUUUGAGUUGUGUUUCGUUUGUGGUUUCAGCAAAUAAUAACUUCUGAGUGAUGAGUUUGGAGACUGUUCUCUCUCUA